GUGGGGAAUAUUGCACAAUGGGGGAAACCCUGAUGCAGCAACGCCGCGUGAGUGAAGAAGUAUUUCGGUAUGUAAAGCUCUAUCAGCAGGGAAGAAAAUGACGGUACCUGACUAAGAAGCCCCGGCUAACUACGUGCCAGCAGCCGCGGUAAUACGUAGGGGGCAAGCGUUAUCCGGAUUUACUGGGUGUAAAGGGAGCGUAGACGGCGCUGCAAGUCUGAAGUGAAAGCCCGGGGCUCAACCCCGGGACUGCUUUGGAAACUGUAAUGCUAGAGUGCUGGAGAGGUAAGUGGAAUUCCUAGUGUAGCGGUGAAAUGCGUAGAUAUUAGGAGGAACACCAGUGGCGAAGGCGGCUUACUGGACAGUAACUGACGUUGAGGCUCGAAAGCGUGGGGAGCAAACAGGAUUAGAUACCCUGGUAGUCC
RNAcentral lists this ribosomal RNA (425 nucleotides) under uncultured bacterium. RNAcentral's name for it is "bacterial SSU rRNA". It matches the Rfam family "Bacterial small subunit ribosomal RNA", at positions 354 to 796 of the family's 1533-position model. The record is from RNAcentral.